GUUGUAUAGUUAAGUGACUAAGCGUACACGGUGGAUGCCUAGGCAAUCAGAGGCGAAGAAGGACGUGCUAAUCUGCGAAAAGCUUGGAUGAGUUGAUAAGAAGCGUUUAAUCCAAGAUAUCCGAAUGGGGAAACCCGAUGGAUGAAGAAUCCAUCAUUUCAUUAUGAAUCCAUAGUAAUGAAAGGCAAACCGGGAGAACUGAAACAUCUAAGUACCCCGAGGAAAAGAAAUCAACCGAGAUUUUGUAAGUAGCGGCGAGCGAAAGCGAAAGAGCCAGUGAGUGAUAACAGCAAAGACAGAAGAAUUGGCUGGGAAGCCAAGCGACACAGGGUGAUAGCCCCGUAUUCGAAGUUUUUGUUGUGGUACUAAGCUUGCAACAAGUAGGGCGGGACACGAGAAAUCCUGUUUGAAGAUGGGGGGACCAUCCUCCAAGGCUAAAUACUCCUGAUUGACCGAUAGUGAACCAGUACUGUGAAGGAAAGGCGAAAAGAACCCCAGUGAGGGGAGUGAAAUAGAACCUGAAACCGUGUACGUACAAGCAGUGGGAGCCCUUUGGGGUGACUGCGUACCUUUUGUAUAAUGGGUCAGCGACUUAUAUUUUGUAGCGAGGUUAACUGAAUAAGGGAGCCGAAGGGAAACCGAGUCUUAACUGGGCGGAUAGUUGCAAGGUAUAGACCCGAAACCCGGUGAUCUAGCCAUGGGCAGGUUGAAGGUUGGGUAACACUAACUGGAGGACCGAACCGACUAAUGUUGAAAAAUUAGCGGAUGACUUGUGGCUGGGGGUGAAAGGCCAAUCAAACCGGGAGAUAGCUGGUUCUCCCCGAAAUCUAUUUAGGUAGAGCCUUAUGUGAAUACCUUCGGGGGUAGAGCACUGUUUCGGCUAGGG
RNAcentral lists this ribosomal RNA (886 nucleotides) under Glaesserella parasuis. RNAcentral's name for it is "partial 23S ribosomal RNA". It matches the Rfam family "Bacterial large subunit ribosomal RNA", at positions 1 to 924 of the family's 2925-position model. The record is from RNAcentral. Lineage: Bacteria; Pseudomonadati; Pseudomonadota; Gammaproteobacteria; Pasteurellales; Pasteurellaceae.